Molecule: transfer RNA, 73 nt
Filed under: bacterium
Lineage: Bacteria
Also listed under: 3 other names
Description: tRNA-Val
Rfam family: tRNA
About the family: Transfer RNA (tRNA) molecules are approximately 80 nucleotides in length. Their secondary structure includes four short double-helical elements and three loops (D, anti-codon, and T loops).
Source: RNAcentral
GGGCGCUUAGCUCAGUUGGUAGAGCGCUGCUUUCACAGAGCAGAAGUCACAGGUUCGAGUCCUGUAGCGCCCA